GGCGAACGCUGGCGGCAGGCCUAACACUUGCAAGUCGAGCGGCCGUAGCAAUACGGCAGCGGCAGACGGGAGAGUAACACGUGGGAACGCGCCCUUCGGUUCGGGAUAACCCAGGGAAACUUGGGCUAAUACCGGAUACGCCCUUACGGGGAAAGAUUUAUUGCCGAAGGAACGGCCCGCGUCCGAUUAGCUAGUUGGUGAGGUAAUGGCUCACCAAGGCGACGAUCGGUAGCUGGUCUGAGAGGAUGACCAGCCUCACUGGGACUGAGACACGGCCCAGACUCCUACGGGAGGCAGCAGUGGGGAAUAUUGGACAAUGGGCGCAAGCCUGAUCCAGCCAUGCCGCGUGGGUGAUGAAGGCCCUAGGGUUGUAAAGCCCUUUCAGCGGGGAAGAUAAUGACGGUACCCGCAGAAGAAGCCCCGGCUAACUUCGUGCCAGCAGCCGCCGUGA
This 451-nucleotide ribosomal RNA is filed under the name uncultured bacterium. RNAcentral's name for it is "partial 16S ribosomal RNA". It matches the Rfam family "Bacterial small subunit ribosomal RNA", at positions 28 to 523 of the family's 1533-position model. The record is from RNAcentral.